Leptinotarsa decemlineata (Colorado potato beetle) is the source of this 559-nucleotide long non-coding RNA. RefSeq lists it as uncharacterized. The record is from RefSeq and is a predicted model, not a curated record. Lineage: Eukaryota; Metazoa; Arthropoda; Insecta; Coleoptera; Chrysomelidae.
CCCAUGAAGUUCCAUAACGAACAUGCGGAAUACAGCCGCUUGCACCCUCACAAACGAGACUAAUUCCAUUCAUUGAAUAAGUAUAGACAACGUGGCCAUAUGGGCCUAAACUCCAUUAAUGAUAUUACUCAUAAUUUAGUUACGACCGAAUCACGAGACAGUUACGUUGAUGCUAUAAAUAAUAUCCAGAGUGCCUGGCUGAUAAACGUCAAAACGUAAUAAUCAAUACGGGAAUGUUGUAGUCCUGUGGAAAAUCAGUUCUCCCGGUGGCCUUAACAUGAAACAUCUGCCAGGACCCUGGGAAGGAAGAGAGCUUUUGUAGAGUUCGUCAGUUGCUUGAAGGAAACUAAACGACCUUUGUCGAGUGAAGAUGUGAGGGAGUUGAUCAGGUACACGUUUCAAGGAGAAGAUUUGAUGUACAAAGGAAGUGGAUCCUGAUUUGAAAGACGGAUAAUGACAGUGUUUUUGUGUGUGCGGGCCUUUUGCUUGAAUAAUGCGGGAUAGAUUUGUGUUAGGAUGUUUUUGUAAGUACUCUGUAGUAAACGAUUCUAUAACUGAA